GUCCUGAAAAGUGAGUGGUUCAAACCACUGAAGUUUAUCUGAGACGUGAUUAUUCCUGGUUAAAAACUUAACCCAAUACCCCGCCUGGAUGACUUGAAAUACAGUCAGCCAAGGCAAUUUUUGUUAGUCUCUCAAGAGA
Small nuclear RNA from Solea senegalensis (Senegalese sole), 139 nucleotides. RefSeq annotates it as U4 spliceosomal RNA. The transcript has a single exon. The record is from RefSeq and is a predicted model, not a curated record. NCBI's taxonomy places the organism in Eukaryota, Metazoa, Chordata, Actinopteri, Pleuronectiformes, Soleidae.